CCUACGGGAGGCAGCAGUGAGGAAUAUUGGUCAAUGGACGAGAGUCUGAACCAGCCAAGUAGCGUGAAGGAUGACUGCCCUAUGGGUUGUAAACUUCUUUUAUCAAGGAAUAAAACGAGGCACGUGUGCCUUUUUGCAUGUACUUUAUGAAUAAGGAUCGGCUAACUCCGUGCCAGCAGCCGCGGUAAUACGGAGGAUCCGAGCGUUAUCCGGAUUUAUUGGGUUUAAUGGGAGCGUAGAUGGGUUGUUAAGUCAGUGGUGAAAGUUUGCGGCUCAACCGUAAAAUUGCAAUUGAUACUGGCAGUCUUGAGUACAGUUGAGGUAGGCGGAAUGCGUGGUGUAGCGGUGAAAUGCUUAGAUAUCACGAAGAACCCCGAUUGCGAAGGCAGCUUACGAAACUGUGACUGACAUUGAUGCUCGAAAGUGUGGGUAUCAAACAGGAUUAGAUACCCCAGUAGUC
This 460-nucleotide ribosomal RNA is filed under the name uncultured bacterium. RNAcentral describes it as "partial 16S ribosomal RNA". It matches the Rfam family "Bacterial small subunit ribosomal RNA", at positions 338 to 795 of the family's 1533-position model. The record is from RNAcentral.